GGAUUCCCCUAGUAACUGCGAGUGAAGCGGGAAAAGCUCAAAUUUAAAAUCUGGCAGUCUUUGGCUGUCCGAAUUGUAUUCUGGAGAAGCGUUUUCCGCGCUGGACCGUGUAUAAGUCUCUUGGAAUAGAGCGUCAUAGAGGGUGAGAAUCCCGUCUUUGACACGGACUACCAGUGCUUUGUGAUGCGCUCUCAAAGAGUCGAGUUGUUUGGGAAUGCAGCUCAAAAUGGGUGGUGAAUUCCAUCUAAAGCUAAAUAUUGGCGAGAGACCGAUAGCGAACAAGUACCGUGAGGGAAAGAUGAAAAGCACUUUGGAAAGAGAGUUAAACAGUACGUGAAAUUGCUGAAAGGGAAACGCUUGAAGUCAGUCGCGUCAUUCAGAACUCAGCCUGGCUUUUGCUUGGUGUAUUUUCUGGUUGACGGGCCAGCAUCAAUUUUGACCGCUGGAAAAAGGCUAUGGGAAUGUGGCACCUUUUGGUGUGUUAUAGCCCAUGGUCAUAUACAGCGGUUGGGAUUGAGGACCGCAGCACGCCUUUAUGGUUGGGGUUCGCCCACAUUCGUGCUUAGGAUGCUGGCGUAAUGGCUUUAAACGACCCGUCUUGAAACACGGACCAAGGAGUCUAACAUGCCUGCGAGUGUUUGGGUGGAAAACCCGAGCGCGUAAUGAAAGUGAAAG
This 675-nucleotide ribosomal RNA is filed under the name Panus lecomtei. RNAcentral describes it as "LSU rRNA". It matches the Rfam family "Eukaryotic large subunit ribosomal RNA", at positions 72 to 731 of the family's 3401-position model. The record is from RNAcentral. Lineage: Eukaryota; Fungi; Basidiomycota; Agaricomycetes; Polyporales; Panaceae.